Non-coding RNA from Camellia sinensis, 550 nucleotides. NCBI's taxonomy places the organism in Eukaryota, Viridiplantae, Streptophyta, Magnoliopsida, Ericales, Theaceae. The record is from RefSeq and is a predicted model, not a curated record.
AAAAUAUGUCUUUUGCUGAGAUGAUGACGGAUGAUGCUCAAACUUCUAGGGAAGAGAGAUGCUUCUGACUGUGGAUCAACUGUGUUGGAAUCGAUUCAUAUGUCAAUAAUCUGUGUGAGGAUGUCAGAACAGGAUGGGUUAUAUUGGAAGUUCUUGACAAAGUUUACCCAAGAUCAGUAACUGGAAGCAAGCAACGAAACCUCUCAUCAAGAUGCCUUUUAGAAAAGUUGAGAAUUGCAACCAAGUUAUUCAGAUUGGAAAGGAAUUGAACGUCUCCCUUGUGAAUGUAGCAGGAAACGAUAUUGUACAGGGAAACAAGAAGCUCAUACUAGGUUGCUGCUGGUUUAUUGUCUAUGCAUGUGAUGGAGAAACUAAAAAAUGGUGAUACAGGGAGUUUGUCUUGUCUCUUUAAUUGAGAGGAUUCGGAUCUUGUUGAAAAAUCACUUUACUAGCGAGAGCUGAAGAACAUGGGCAGAUGAUCGAAUCACUUCACACCUCUAUUGAUUUUGAUGACGUUCGGAAGCAUACUUGCAAAUGAAGAUCAACUGUU